CGCCGCGCUCCGCGCGCUCCCUCGCGCAGGGCGGGGUCUACUGCAAACACCGGGCCCUGCGCAGAUUUGAAACUUCCCUUCACGACAACGUGUGGAAAACAGCUGAGGUCCACAGGAGCAGCAACUGGAGGUUUCUUUUGAUCAUGAUGGGUAAGAGCAGGCAUCAAGAACAAGAUCCUUGCACAUCAUGAAAUACAACUGGGUAUCUCUAUUUUGUGUUCUACUUGCCUUCUGGAAAGCUCCUUGUCACUACUGGUCUCUGCAUCAGAGCCAUCCUCUUCCUGGUCUGAGAGAAGGCAAAGAUCUUCAUCCUCAGCAUCCCUUGCA
Parus major (Great Tit) is the source of this 327-nucleotide long non-coding RNA. RefSeq lists it as uncharacterized. NCBI's taxonomy places the organism in Eukaryota, Metazoa, Chordata, Aves, Passeriformes, Paridae. The record is from RefSeq and is a predicted model, not a curated record. The transcript is spliced from 3 exons.